GAUGAACGCUGACAGAAUGCUUAACACAUGCAAGUCUUUGGCGAAGCUGUGCUUGCACAGCCUAGCCAAGGCGGACGGGUGAGUAACGCGUAAGGAACUUGCCCUGCAGUCAGGGAUAACAGACGGAAACGACUGAUAAGACCUGGUAAAGUCAGGCGGACUCAUGUCCAGCCUGAUGAAAAGAGAUGCUGCAGGAGAGCCUUGCGUCCUAUUAGCUUGUUGGUGGGGUAACGGCCCACCAAGGCGAUGAUAGGUAGCCGGCCUGAGAGGGUGGACGGCCACACGGGGACUGGGAGACGGCCCAUACUCCUACGGGAGGCAGGAGUGGGGAAUAUUGGACAAUGGGGGCAGCCCUGAUCCAGCAAUUCUGUGUGAACGAUGAAGGUUUUCGGAUUGUAAAGUGCUUUCAGCAGGGAGGAAGAAAUGACGGUACCUGCAGAAGAAGCGACGGCUAAAUACGUG
RNAcentral lists this ribosomal RNA (462 nucleotides) under uncultured bacterium. Its description in RNAcentral is "partial 16S ribosomal RNA". It matches the Rfam family "Bacterial small subunit ribosomal RNA", at positions 28 to 507 of the family's 1533-position model. The record is from RNAcentral.